RNAcentral lists this ribosomal RNA (813 nucleotides) under Triticum aestivum (bread wheat). RNAcentral's name for it is "partial small subunit ribosomal RNA". The record is from RNAcentral. Lineage: Eukaryota; Viridiplantae; Streptophyta; Magnoliopsida; Poales; Poaceae.
AUGACAAGACCGAAGCACCUUGGGGGCUUAGGCUUCCGCGAUCUUGAGAUCUUCAAUUUAGCAUUACUUGCUAGGCAAGCAUGGAGGUUGUUAACUGACGAUACUUCUUUGAGUGCCAGGAUACUAAAAGAUGCAUAUUUUCCAAGUUGCUCUCUGUUUGAUGCCGAACUGGGGUCGAGACCUUCACAAAUAUGGCGAUCGAUUUUGGAUGGCCGUGAUAUCCUAUCGCAGGGAGUCAUUAGGCGAAUUGGAGAUGGAAAGACCACGGAGGUUUGGACCCAAAAUUGGAUCCCAAGAGAUAGCUUCAAGAGGCCCAUCACUUCUUUGCUUCCGAACCCGCCGAUGAUGGUGGCCGAGUUGAUCGACGCUUCUUCUGCGUCAUGGAGGGAGGACCUGGUACAUGCGACUUUUACACAUUUUGAUGCCGAGGAGAUUCUACGGAUUCCCUUGUGUACACGCAUAGUCCAUGACUGCUGGGCAUGGCACGAGGAGAGCAUAGGAGAUUUCAGUGUAAGAUCGACGUACAAAAUGAUAUUGAGGACAAAGUUGAACCGGGAAGCUUGGCUAAAUGAAGAGGAGGGACCGUCUAGUGAUCAGCAAGAGCAAAACAAAUGGAGCAGAAUUUGGCACAUCAAGGUUCCCUCAAAAUUACGAAUGUUUGUGUGGCGUCUGGCGAGGCAAUCUAUGCCAACGGAUGACCACUUGAAGCAUAGUAACAUGGCGACGGAGGACACUUGUCUUAUUUGUGGGGCUGUGGACACGUGGAGACAUGCUCUACUAACAUGUCCGAUGUCGAGCAACGUGUGGCCUUAG